RNAcentral lists this ribosomal RNA (494 nucleotides) under uncultured bacterium. RNAcentral describes it as "bacterial SSU rRNA". It matches the Rfam family "Bacterial small subunit ribosomal RNA", at positions 28 to 507 of the family's 1533-position model. The record is from RNAcentral.
GAUGAACGCUAGCUACAGGCUUAACACAUGCAAGUCGAGGGGCAGCAUUUCAGUUUGCUUGCAAACUGGAGAUGGCGACCGGCGCACGGGUGAGUAACACGUAUCCAACCUGCCGAUAACUCGGGGAUAGCCUUUCGAAAGAAAGAUUAAUACCCGAUGGUAUAAUCAGACCGCAUGGUCUUGUUAUUAAAGAAUUUCGGUUAUCGAUGGGGAUGCGUUCCAUUAGGCAGUUGGUGAGGUAACGGCUCACCAAACCUUCGAUGGAUAGGGGUUCUGAGAGGAAGGUCCCCCACAUUGGAACUGAGACACGGUCCAAACUCCUACGGGGAGCAGCAGUGAGGAAUAUUGGUCAAAUGGGGCGCAGGCCUGAACCAGCCAAGUAGCGUGAAGGAUGACUGCCCUAUGGGUUGUAAAACUUCUUUUAUAUGGGAAUAAAGUUUUCCACGUGUGGAAUUUUGUAUGUACCAUAUGAAUAAGAUCGGCUAAACUCCGUG